AUACGGAGGGUGCAAGCGUUAUUCGGAAUCACUGGGCGCAAAGGACGCGUAGGCGGGUUGGCAAGUCAGAUGUGAAAUCCUACAGCUUAACUGUAGAACUGCAUUUGAAACUGCUAACCUAGAGUAUGGGAGGGGGAGAUGGAAUUAGUGGUGUAGGGGUAAAAUCCGUAGAUAUCACUAGGAAUACCGAAAGCGAAGGCGAUCUCCUGGAACAUAACUGACGCUAAGGCGUGAAAGCGUGGGGAGCAAACAGGAUUAGAAACCCUAGUAGUCC
RNAcentral lists this ribosomal RNA (274 nucleotides) under uncultured bacterium. RNAcentral's name for it is "partial 16S ribosomal RNA". It matches the Rfam family "Bacterial small subunit ribosomal RNA", at positions 523 to 796 of the family's 1533-position model. The record is from RNAcentral.